This is a long non-coding RNA of Numida meleagris (helmeted guineafowl), 12682 nucleotides long. RefSeq lists it as uncharacterized. The record is from RefSeq and is a predicted model, not a curated record. Lineage: Eukaryota; Metazoa; Chordata; Aves; Galliformes; Numididae. The transcript has 2 exons.
UUCUCUUUCAGCAGAAACAGCUAGAUGCAGUACUUCAGAUUUCAGAUCAUUUCUGAUUAAUCACAGUGACUUAAUGAUACAGAAAGUUCUGUACUAGGGUAGUGCUAGCAACUUGCUGAGGAUCCUCUGGUUAUAUUAGCCUACAAGGAAGAUUUUUCAUAAUAAAAAUAAUUGUUUCCAGUUGGUUUUAUUGUUACAGGACACUUCAGGUAACCAGGUAUGCUUGCAGAACAAUUGCUGCUGAUCAGAAGGGCUGAGGUGGUUGUAGCUGUGAGAGCUGAGUUGUUUUUCCAAAUCAAAGGAUGACACCCAGUCAUAGGUGAGGCUGUUCUGGACUGCGAGUGAGCUUGUUGGGAAGGCAGUCAAGGCUAAUGCUGCGAUUCAGCUGAAAAUUAAUGGAGCCAAGUGUUUCAGAGUGGUGGCUGAGAGCUACUGCUGUCCCUCUGACCCAUGUGGUCUUCACAUCUGGAGGUGGAAAGUCUUCGGCUGGGCAGGGGUAAGGGAGUGGGUGAGGGCUGCAGCUUGUCUUGAGCCCCAGAAUCCUUACCUAAAAGAAAGCUGGAUCCUGAGCAAGCCAGAAGGGCACACACAGGAGGGGCUCAGUAAUCCUUUGGACAAAUAACUGCCUCAGGAAGGCUUUGUGCAGUAAGCAGGGAGUCAUCAGGAGAUGGAAAAACUCCGACACAUCAGGGAAUGUAGGAACAGGGAGAAUUCACCAAUUGAUGCAGCUCAGUUGCAAAUGGCAACACAUAGAUAGUAAAAGGAUCUUUUUUUGUGUAAGUACAGGUUGGUGAGAUAGAAAAGAAAAUGAGUUAGAGUGGUUCCAGAGUUAAAUACUUGUUUUGUGCCGGGUUUCAGAGAGGGAGAUGGAGGGGAGGCCUGCUCAGCCGGCCUGAGCCCAUCUGCUUCAUGGUGUCCUGGGAGGACUCUGAAAUCCCAGAGCUGUUCCCAUUUUUUCAUAAGUCUGUCAAAUCCAGGUGAUCCUCUGGGGGAGAAAUAGCACUGAAUGUGAGGGACGGAAUUUUCCAUGCUCCGCAUCCCUCAUGCUGGUCUCCUUCAACACAAGUCUCAGCAAUAGGCAAGUUACUAGAACAGAUGUAGAAGGAAAAGCAUACAGAGAUAUGAAAAAUACAUAUGAUACUGCCAAAGUAGGUCACACCAGACUUAAAUCAUAGCCUUCUGUUGAUGAGAUCUGCUGUAGUGUCCUCUUCUGAGAGCUGCAGAUUGACUAAAACUAGAUCUCAUUCAUUAAACAUCUGAAGUAACAUCACAGGCCAAAUUUCUGGCUUCACCAGCAAGUCAGCUGGAAGUGAAUGUUGUUCUCGAUAGAGAAAAGUUUUAAUAGGUUUGGAAAGUAAUGGGGCGAAUUUGUGACUGAAAAAUGGAAGGAGACCUGUCAAUAGGAUGUGGUAAAUCUGUGGGCAGGUGCUGCUGUCAGCUCUGCUAGCUGCUGCAAGUCAGCUGUGCCAGCGCUGUGGGCACUGCAGACCUGUGGCCUGACCCUUUUUAUCUGUUUUUCUGUUCCUGCAGCAAGCAGAGGGGUGAUCGGGCUGGGGAUGGUGGUGGGCCACAGUGACAGGAGGCUGACAUUGGCUUUUCAGUAGAUUGCUUUCACAUCUAAUCUGGUUUAACACUUUCCUGAAUCAUGAUGGAAGUGUGACUGUUACUCGGUUACAUACAGGAGCCAGAAGUGGUAAAUAUUGUCAAUCCGGGGAAAGAGCAGAGUGUUUCACAGCAAGCUGGGAGACCUUGAGCACCAGAGUACUUAGAGUUGGGGUGAGGUGCAGUGGCAUGGCAUGUAAGAGUCACCUGUAACUGCUUGUUACUCAUAAGUUUGGGGAAGAGCUGCUCCCUGGAGGGGCCAAGGAGAGGAAUUUCGGUGUACUGGAGGACCAGAACAGUCCUACAGGGUUUUGCAGCUGUGAGGAGGGAAGCCAGGAGGGAUCCACAUUCAGCAGGUGUAGAGGUGAACUGUGUGGAUGCUCAGAGAAAUGGACGGCUUACUUUGCAAAAGGAGACUAAAAGACCUUUGCUUUUUUAAUGCAGCAGAAAUACGGGCUGAGAGGGGUUAUGAUGGAUGUCUAUAAAUACAUCAGAUGGUAAGAACCAGCAAGGAGAAAUAAGCAAAGGAGUAAAUGGAUAUAAAAUGGUCAUAAAUAUAUUUAGGCUGGAAAAUAAGUGUCCAGAGCUGUGAGGUUCUCGUAGAGUUUGUUCUAGGUCUAGACUGUCAAAAAUACACCUGCUUUUAAGAUAGAAAAUGUUAUGAACGUCAUUAAAUGAUGUAGUGCUAACAAUAGCACUGGCCUGGACUCAGUGAGUUGAGGUCACAUCAAAAAAAAAGAGAGACACUUUCAUUCGCUUCAUUGUAUUACAUGGGUGAAUAAGAAAGUAGCCCAAAAGUGAUUCAAAAAUAGUCUGAUGUCAGGUCUUAGAAGCUCGUGUAAGUGAAAAUGCAUGUCACUGUGAGUCAUGGAGGUGCAUGGAGAUACUGUCACCUGUUCUGUAGAAGUCAGAAGGCCUCUCAAGGACAUUUCAACUAUUUUAAGGAAAGCCAGCCUGGUUCAGUGGCUUCUGAACAUAUGCAAACUAAAGCUGCUUUGCCUUUGCUUCAAGAACACCUCCAGUUUUCCAUGAUGCAGCAUCUUUACAUUACUGUACUGUGGUACGGUACCAGGGUACUGUGGUUGGUGUUGGAUAGCUAACCAUCACAUUUGGCAGAGCGUCUUACUUUGGUGGACAUUGUUUAAAUUUACAUAGUUUUAGGCUGCUCUUGGUCACUCUGUAGUUAUCUCAACUCGUGGUUGCCAUCUAGGCAACUUUAGAUCUCUGGUGGGCCUCUUUCUAAAGGAGUUCCCACAACAGUUCACAGGCUUUGGCAUGAAGAGCUAACUCUUCAUUGAAUCUGGUUUUAGUGACUCCCUAUUGUCUGAGACACGAUGUGAGCUUGUCCUCCAGUCCCUUGGAAUGGAACUGGGGAGAAACCAGCUCGGGUCACUCCAGUGCUCAGCAGAGACGGGGAGUAUGGUCUGUGAGAGUCCAAAAUAUAAAAACCAGGCUCUUAAGGCAAUUGACAAGACCCUCACCCUCAUCACUUGGUCUUAUUUUCCUGGAAAGAUUGGCUUAACAAAUAAAUAAAUAAACAAACCCCUUCACGUACCAAGAUUCUUCCCUUCAGAAUGUAUGCAUUUGAAAGUCCAGUGACGAUUGAUUUCUGUCCUCGAUCCUCAUAAGUCUUACAGUAAUUUCUAUCUUUUUAGAAUCUGACCCUUUUAAAUAAUUGUUCUCUCGACUGCCUUAAUUAUUAGCUUUGGUGUCUGGAAUUGGAGAGCAGUACUACUUCAUUAGCAUGUUCCUGUGUUCCUGUUUUCUUCCACCUCGUAUCUUAAGUGUCAGCGUAAAACUUUUUCAUUGUGCCUUUCUAGUCUCAUGUGCUGAAAAUGAGAAUGCAGAUUUUCAGCUGACCUGUAGUAAGAGUGACACGAGUGAAAUGAAAUUCCAGUGUAGGAUGAUGUUUUUGCCAUGACAAGCCUUGCAAUGAACUGUGCUCAUUUAGAAUAGUGACUUUUAUUUUAAAAAAAAAAAAGAGAGAGAGAGAGAGAGAAAAUGUAUUCUCUGAAUUACAGGGAACUAGUGGAGGCAGGAAGGGAAAGAGAGUGGGGAGGAGGAUUUUCUUCAAAAGAAACCUUGAGGUUUAGCAUUGAGAGCAAGUUAGCCAAGCGUGGAGGUUGUCCUCUAUUAAGACUUACUGUUGCUGGUAGGAGUGGUGCAUUACAUUAGCCAAAUCACAGGCUGUGGUUUGGAGAUGUGGAUUCCGUGAGCAUUUGCUUUAAAUUUAUGCAUAUUACUUAAAGACAUGAAAUUUGAAGCACUAAUUAAAUGAUGAUGUUUUGAAAUCUGAAAAAAAAAUAGAUGGCUUGUUAAGCAUCCUAGGUUUUUCCUCUCUCUCGUGUUGGCAAGGGAGAUGUUGAUACUCGUUUGGUUCUUUAUUUGAACUGUUUUUUUUCUGGCUAGAGAGAUUUGAGAGAGAAGAUAGUGGUAUAAUUCUCCUCUGGUUUUGCUUAGCUAGGGGAGUUCGUCUGGAGAUCUUGUUAUCAGAUUUCCAUUUCCAGGACUGGAGAGUGAGGAUGGAUUGCAGCUUGCUUGGCCAGACUGAAUAUUGGCUUUUGUCUAAGUGGGUCAGGAUAGACUGGGGGGAGAGUGGUGUUUUCAGUCGGAAAGAGAUUCAAAUUGUCAGGAGGGAGACCUUUAUUAAUGAGAAAUGGCACAUCAUCAGCUUUGGAAAAAUCUGUAUGGAAAUAAUUUACGCUAUUUAAUUUCUCUGUUCUUUGCAGGUGUUCCUGUUUGUAUGCAGAGGUCCUUCCCAUUGUUUUCUCAGCAACCCAGCCUGGUAGUCUGUGCCUUUUAAGUAGAAGCCAUAGGGAGCGUAAUGUAGAUUGCUCAAAUAUUUUGUGUGCUUCCAUUACAGAGAGGUGGGGAUAUUCUCUGCAAACAGGUUUUUUUUUUUUUCUGUUUAUCAGUCAGUGCAUUGAAUGCAGUAGCAAUGGUUCAACAAUUGUACGGGAUUCUCUGUCCGACACCCUGGGCAAACUGGUGUUACUGAUAAUAAGGGAGACCGUGAUCAAGGACUAUUAAUUUCAAAUGUCUCUCUUAACCACUGCUUUCAGUUUUGUAUUAUAGGAUACUUCUUGCAUAUCAGACGUUGGAUAACUAUUAGUUGGGACAAAAUGCCAGUGUAGAUGAGAGUUAAUACUGCGUGUCUAGGAUACUGAGAAACAAAUUGCUUUUCUCUUGGUAUAGGCUGUUAUCAAUCACUGAUUCAUUUAAAUGUUUUCAUUUUUGCGUUGUAUAUAAGUUGAGAGAGAUGUUUUGAAGCAUAGGCUUUUUUCUUCUAGGUUGUAGUGUUUGCAACAACCAUGGGUUUAACCAGAUGCAAGUUAGGGGAGGGCUGAGCAGAGUGAUGACAGUCAGGGUCAGAGAUGGAAAUUGGUGUCCUCAGUCUGCAAAGGCAUCUUAAAUCAUUCCCGAAUGUCCCUGGUCACCUGAAUUAGAGAAAGAUAAGUAAAUAAAACCUCCUGAUUAAACAUCUAUUUUCUUUCUUGUUAAUGACUUUCUUGUAUUUCUCUAAAGAUAAGCACUUAGUUUUCAUAGACCAGCAAUGCUGUGACUUGAGGCUGCAUGCAGUCCCUUUCCUUGGGGCACUGGGUGGAAAAAACUAGUAAUUUUAGAGAAGUUUGAAGUAUUCCUGGCAUUGUGUCUUAUAAGUAGGCUGGAAGCAGAGAGGAUAAGCCUGCAUCACACAAGUAAGUUCCCCAUGGACUUGCUCCAUAUUGUGUGGUUAAUGUGUGGACCACCCUUAGAGCUGUGUUUUAAAUCUUCCAACAUAACAAGUGUUGGGUUAACACGUAUGAAAGCCAGGAGAAACCACAUUCUUGAGGAUUUUGUGGAACCAUAGAUCUCCAUUACCUCUUAAAGCAUGGAAGACAUUUGGAAGAUUACUUCGAACCCAAAUUUUGAUCUAUUUGGAGUGAGUAAUAAACUCAUAAAUACAUUUAAUAUAUCUCAGUUACUGCACUUUACAAUCAAAACACAUAAUUGUCCAUCUGUUUCAAUGAGUAUUAAAUCUGAACUUAAGUUUUGACAUGGAACCGGAGAGAACUUUGUAUUCUUCCAGAGUUAAGUGAUACUUCUAAAAGAUUCUUCUUUAGAAGGGAGUAAUGAUUGCAAAGUUGUCUUCUCACUUAACAUUUUUACAUACAGAUGAACAUUAAAUGUGGCUUGGGGAUAGGUGGAUUGGGAAUUAAAGAGUUUAUGCUGCUGAGCUAUUCCACAGAACCUAAAGUCAGAGUUAUAUUGAUGACAUGAAGUGCUAGCUGUCUUGGUGUAAACCAUUCUUAGAGCAGUGCUUAUUCAAAAUCAUCUUUUAUCUGUCUCUGCAUUAUAACUGCAUUGGAUUUGCUUUUGCUGAUACUGACAAAACAAUUGAAAGCCAGCAUAUGUUCUCUCUCCUUUAUGAAUUGUGCAGUUAAAAUUAUUAAGUAAGACGCUAUCUUAACAGCAGUGAACCUAAUUCAAUAGAAUGAGCUUGUAAAUAUGUUUAAUAUCUCCUGCUUUAGCAUGUGGCGAAGGGAAUAUAGUUACAUUAUUGGCUAAGUAUAUCUGGAGGUGUCCUGGCCAUAUGGUAUUAAAUCUGUUUUAAUGUAAUUAUCUCUAUUAACUAAAAAGAAAUAAAAAAUACUCCCUUUGAGUUGAUUGACAUUCUUCUCAGUAAAGCGCCCUCAUUGCUGAUUAGAGGUGUGGAAAUAGUAAUUUGUUCUAGAGUUUAGAAAUUUGAUUAGACCUCUAAUGAAAUGGAGCGCCUACACACUGUCUAAAUAUUCUACCUGACACCAGUUGGAUCUCAUCCAGGUUGGAAGAACACUUGAAAUAUUGCUUUUUUACAAUAUGUUUUGUGUCUUGAAAUCAACUGCCUUCUUGCAAAUACCCACUGGGUGUUGAACCAGCAGGGUGAACCUUGACCUUCCUUGGAAACCAGCAUCAGGAUUUGAUUAUUCAGCUGAGUGCUCAUUGCCUCACUGCAAUAAUGAGGGUAGAAUCAGAAAAUUAAGGCAACUGCUUAAAUGGAAGCACCCGUAUUAUUAAAUAGACUUCAGAAGUGCUGUGCACAUACAUGGUAUGCAUUGUAUAACAUAUAGAUGUUGUCGAAGUAUGCUGUUAAAACUCACAAGCUGUUAGUGUUCAUGGGAAGCAAUAAGCUGAUAAGAGCACACUAGAUGAAGAUAAAAAUUGCAGAAUGAUCCCAGCUCUCCCCAUGACGAGAUGGCUUGUUCUGUUUCCUCCAAAAGUUGAUCAAAACAAUCUCCGGGUGCCCUGACAGUUGUUCUAGCACCUGUGUUUUAAGCUCCCUUAGCUCAGUUGGAUGCAGUUUUUGUUCAAGUGGACUACUGACAGAAAAGUCUGAAUCAGGACUCUUUAUUAAUAUCUUGCAGUGGAAACUUCCUGGUUUUUGCGGUAGGAAACACAUGAAAACAACAUUUGAAAUGCAUGAUGUCCACUAGUCAACAGCUCAUUUUGACUGAUAAGCUUACAGAAGAUAAGCUUUAAUGUAUCUUUUGUAUUCUUCCUUUAUAGUUUUUUUUUGUCAGUUUUCUCAUCCACUGUGGUCUUCAGUAUUUUUACUUUUUGCAAUUUCUACUUGUAAGCAAAUACGAUGGGAGGGUGUUGAACCAAAAGAACUCCGACUGAUUUAUGCUGUUUUAAUACAUAUUAAAGCUCGAGGUUAUUUUUUUUUCAUCUUAUGCUCCUUCCAGAAAACACAAACAAACUGUUCAAUUACAUUAGUAGUUUAAAUUUUGCCCACGUUAUGUUACUGGGGGAAGACUGAACAAGGCAGUAACAUGAGGGAUCACAUAAGUAGAACCUGUUUUAAGAUAAGUGACUCUUAUUCCAGCAAUUUAAAACUUGUUUUCUGACUUCAGUGUGGGUGCUUUGCAGGUAAUUGGGAGAAAGAGUGUGUUGGUUGAAAAGGUCAACUGCAGCAUUAUUAAAGAGUGAAAGAACCUACAUCCUGCCUUGUAGUUCUUCAGAGGAGAUGAAGCCUUGUACGUGUUAGAUAUGAGCAGAGGACAAGUGGAAAGAGAACCGUCUUCGGCCAUGCUGGAGCUGUUUCUCACCCUCAGCUUUGAAAAGCAAAAUGAGAAUGGAGGCAGAAGGAAGGUUUCCCUCCAUGCCCCUGUUCUUUAGGUGACUUAUGCAAAAGAUAUUUUAGAUAAAGCUGUAGUUCCUUGACCUAUUUAUCCGACAGAAACUUGCAGUACAAGCGAAAGCAGUUUGACAAUGCGGUGCUGUUGCUCUUUUAUAUGGGACACUCCUUUGGGUUAAGCUGUGCCUCAUGAAUACCUAAAGGCAGCAUCCAGCCAUCCAACAUGAGUAAUUCUUCUUGGUUUAGGAGCUAGGUCUAUGACUUCAAUUCAUAUUUCUCAAAAAACUUGGAAUACCUGUUGCAUGGUCUAAUUUCUAUCCACGCAGAGGUAAGCUGGGUAGAAGUAAAGGCUGUCAGCCUCUUAGGAGCUGGGCUUACUCCAGUGCUAGGGUCUUGGCUUGGAUUUGGUUACUUCAUACAGAAGAAGGGCAUGUAGACUGGAACAUAUGGAAGAUCUCAGUAGACAACGCAUGUUAACCAUUCUUCCAUUGCUAUAGGAGAGGGUAUAGAAUAAGUGGUUUUAUCAUUUCUGCAGGACUAGCUGGUGUUGGUUUUUUUUUUUGUUCUGUUUUUUUUUUACAGUCAUUAAGUCACUAAAUGCAGCCAAAAGUCCUCUUAGUGAAAGUGUAAGCAGUAAUCUGAGGAGAUGAUGGAGCCCGUCAGGUGAGGUUGGAGGUGAACGUGAAGUUCUGCCAACCAGCCGGCUUGGGCAAUGUGCAUGUGUUUAGGUACAGUGCAUUUUCUAUACCAGUUAUGAAUCUUCAUUUUUUGGAAAUCAGCAUCUCUUAUAAGCUUUGGCAGGAAAGUACAAGCUUUGUAUGUUAGGUCAUUACUGCCACCAGCUCAGCUCAGCUGUGUUAAGUCAGCGUGCUGCGGAGAUGGUGUGUCAGCAGUGACUCACCCUGGUAAGACCUAGCUUAAGAUGGGGGGGAAAAAAAAAAAAGAGGAAGAAACUGGAAACUGCUUGACUGUAAGUAGUUAUGGUCCUUCCAGCAAGCUGGUGGCUUUCAGUUGUGCUGCUGAGAUGAAGCACUUUCUCGAUCAGUCUCCUGUCCAAACAUUUCCCAGAUUAAUCAAACAUGAAAUGGUUGGUGGGUCAGCUCCUUGCUUGUUGCAAAAGCAAUCUCUAGUCUUUGCAAAUAAGACCAGUUGGAGAAAUAAUUUGUCAUAACUGGUGGCUGUGGUAGAAUUUCCUGUCAGGUGAGGAACCACGAGGACUCCCUCCUGGUUCUCCCAUCUAUGGCCCCAGCACCCAUAAAGGUUUUGGAGACUUCUUUUAAGGAGUCUCUGGAAAGCCAUGUAAGAAAUCUUACUCCAGUGAAGUCAUAUGUAUGGUACAGAUAACAGCUCCUUCUGUGAGACACUUACAAGUCAACUAAUCAGAAAAGGCUUAAGCCCCUGGCUUAGACAGCAAGGUGCUUGCUCUUGGAAACUGUGCCCUUAGGCUAGAGUAAAAGUGUGUUAGUCAGGGAGAUUCUAUUUUUCAUCUGGCAUGUUCUUUCUGUUUGAGUCAUGGACCAAAUUAAAAUGGCAAAACCCGUGCUUCUCUGAAAGCAGGAGGACAUUGUUCCUGUUGGGCAUCCAGAGGGACUAUCCUUUUCCAGACAGAGCUGGGAGAGCAGCAUCAGUGUUUCUUACGUUAUUUGAAUUGUAACAAAGAUGCUCAGCAGUCAUCAAUUGUAAAUGAGCAUUGGACUGAGAAACUGGUGCUGAGGGGGUUUCUCAUUGUUACAAAAGCUUUUCAGUGGAUUAACUUAUGAAAUUCUGUGGGUCAUGUUAACAUUUCACUCAGUGGAAUUUUAAGGAACCAUAGCCACAAGUUCUGUUUCCUGUAAACUAGAAAAUUUGUCAGCCUUGUAUUUUAAUAUUUUUAUGCUGGCUUGCAUUUUGAUGUGAACAGCUCAGCUGGAGGCCUUCGUGGUGAGGUAGCAUAGCCAAAGUCUGUCUGUAUUCUUCCAGGUACAUAUCAGUCUAAAGAAACAUCUGCCUAUCAGUGAGUACAGAGUGUACAUAUAUUUUCUUCCUGCUUUAACUCUUCAGAGAUUUUUUUCUUCACUUUUUUUGAAAUCUAAAUAGAUGUCACUUUUGACAAGGCACAUUCAGCAAAGGGAAAAAGUAUUUUCUUACUUAAUCUAGUGUUAGUUAACAAUUAAAGUGCAAGUACUCAAAAUUAUGAGGUAAAUGAUGCAACAGUUGUUGACUAUAGAAUCAUAGAAUCAUAGAAUUAGCUAGGUUGGAAAAGACCUACAAGAUCAUCCAGUCCAACAAUGUAUAUAGCCCAAUAAUGUGCUCAGCCAGGCUGCUAAGGAGUUAUCUGAUGUGGGCUGCAUGUCUUAGACUGGAGUAGCAUGAUGAUUGUUUCUGCAACAGUCCAGUGUAGCUAAAAUUUCUCUCCCUGUUUAGGUGAUGCCAAUUCAUACCUAUUUUAGAUAAUACGUUUCAUUUUUUUUGUAAUAGCCUAUAUAGAAUAGAUAGUAUUUGGGAACCAAAUCUGUCUUAGUGCUGCAGCUCAUGUUUCCCGAUAUUUAAUACUCCUUUAUUCAUUUCUCUUCUGUUAGCUCCAACGAUUUGCUUCUGAACCCACACAAACUUUAGGGGUCCACAGUCUCUUACAGCAAGGAUUUCCACGCCUUAGCUGAGCAUUGUUGAAGAGUUGCGGUACUGUUAUUUGGCCUUCUCACCUGUGACUUGGUUUGAAUCCUACUUUUGGAAGUGGUCCCAGUUCUCUGUGGACUGUGGCAGCCAGGAGGCCAUCAAGCGAAAUAUUGUGACAGCAAGUACAGCAUUUUAGUUGCUUUCCAAGACCCAAACUACUUAAAUCCUACAUGGAAAAGAUGGCUGGAAGCGAAGUGACAGCGCUGCCAAAAGAGGAGAGGUGACAGAAUGCGGCCUCGAUGCCAGCCUCUGCUUAAACAGUUCUCCCAGUCUGUUCUUAUGGCAGCUCCCAGUGAGGUGCACCUUCCUUAAAGUCCUCGGUGGUAAUGAGCUCUGCUGGAAUGCUGCAGUGUUUGAAGAUGUUCAGGCAUGGAUUGCAAAGCCUGUUAAAGGUUUUCUAUAAAAUAUGUCAUUAGAGCAUUUUGAUGGUUGCUGCUCUUAUAUUAAUCAUCUUUCAAACGUUUUAGCGUAUUUGAAAUCCAGUUUAAAACAAGUCAGCCACUUACUUCACAGUAGAAGGAUGCUGUUAUUGAUUUACAGUAUGGAUGGAUACCAUUCAGUUUUACUUGCUUACAGGGCGUGCAUUUUCAGACAGUACUUCUAUUAAAAAUUCAGCGGAGUAUUCUUAGGAAGCAGUUCUGCCAGGGUUACGUGGCAGAUUUACAUAACCCUGGGGGUCUUCCUCUCUCUUUUUUUUUAAUGUCCACCAGUUAUGCCUCUCCGAUUGGCAGCACGCCCAAUAACUGUGUGCGCAUUCAUGAAUUGCAGUAUUUAACUGCCCAGUUACUGUAUGCUAAAGAUAAUGUGCUAUCUAUCAGUGGUUAAUUUAGACAUUAAUUCAGACCUGCCGAAGCAGCUGCCCCUUAUCUUCAUGUUAGGUCAAAUGUUUGCUCUACCCAUUGGCUGUCCCAGCUAAACUGCUGAUGUUUUCCACUGUAACUUUUGCCCUUGAUGCCUGAUGCUGCUGAUGUAGAAAAUGCUCUUCUGCUGUGCUUGUAGGAUUUUAAGUCAUCCUGACCAUCACAAAAUGAUCUUCUGUCCUGAGGGUGUUUCCUGGGGAGCAUACAGACCUCCAGCAUUGGGUGUGCGGGGGAGGAAGGAGGCACAGUUGCUUUGUCUGCGCCUUCAGGGAUUGAUAAGAGGGGAGUUUUAUUUCUUUCACUUUGUUUUUUCUUCUUUGGUGGCUGAAUUAGACCAGAAGACCACUUUGGUGACAGUGCAAGCCUUGCCACUUACCAAUGGAUUCCUCUUUAUCUUCAGAGGAAAAGCAGGUCUUGCUAUGACAAAGUUCAGUUCAUCCUGAGUUAGACAUCAGCUUUAUUUUUGGGUAGUAAACAGCAUCCAGCUGGCAAAUUUAUUUGGGUGCCAGUGUUUGGUUAGUUCUAGUAUCUGAUAAUGACUGGGGCAUGAAUAACAACUUUUAUUUUGAGGUUUAUCUUAAAUUAGAUGGAAGUGAAUCUCUAGCUGCAAGUAAACUGAACAGGUGGCAAUCUGUCUCUCCAUUUCAUGUGUUAAUAAUCAAUGUUUAGGCUUGGUUAUUGGCCCAUUUACUUGAAGAAAUCUUCUCAUGGACAGUUUUUCAUUUGUCUGGUCAGGAGCCCUACUUUCUUGGGUACCUGUACUCUGCACUUUAGUUAUCUUGUGAUUAAGUUAUAGGUGUGUCUUUUACAUGAUAUAUUCAGAUCAAUUCUCUGUUUGGCUUCUUAAAUAAAUAAAUGUUUUGCAGCAAACUCGUUACUCAGAUGUUUGACUUGGAAUCCUUGCCUGUUUGAUUCCAGUUGCAGUUGAACAUUUUGGUUUAUAGCUGUAAAUAACUUGGAAACUAUCUCCAGGAUGGAGAAGGUGUUACAGCACAAAUGGGACUAAAAGAGGAUGUAGAUGUAGGUAGGCUUUCUUUAUGAAAAAGGAUGUAGACUUUUCUGGCAGUGACUGCAUGUUCACUUCUGAGUUUUUCUCCGUAGGUUGAGUAUACCGGAUAUCUUUCAGAGACUGAAGAACUGCUCUUGAAUUUCUGCUGCCUGGCCAUACAUCUUGGGUUGGGUAGAAAUUGCUGCCCUUUGGUUUCUAAUUAGUGUGGAUUGUGUUCUUAAUAGCGAGUAGAGGGAUGAGAACUUGGGAUAGGCUUCCUUUUAUUGUACGAAAUCCAAAAGGGUUGUAACCUGUUACCAAAGCAAAAGCUCCACAUCGAUUGUACUGCACUGGCUCCCUUCCCAGCUCCUUGCUCCACUCCAUCAGCUGUUAGGCACAAAGACACUGAAUUCCUAACAUUAAGGGUGGCUUUUAAGUACUUUGAAAUGCUGUUCCAUGAAAAAAAAAAAAAAAAAAAAA